GAGAGUUUGUAACACCCGAAGUCGGUGAGGUAACCUAUUAGGAGCCAGCCGCCUAAGGUGGGAUAGAUGAUUGGGGUGAAGUCGUAACAAGGUAGCCGUAUCGGAAGGUGCGGCUGGAUCACCUCCUUUCUAAGGAA
This 137-nucleotide ribosomal RNA is filed under the name Streptococcus dysgalactiae subsp. equisimilis. RNAcentral describes it as "partial 16S ribosomal RNA". It matches the Rfam family "Bacterial small subunit ribosomal RNA", at positions 1406 to 1533 of the family's 1533-position model. Lineage: Bacteria; Bacillati; Bacillota; Bacilli; Lactobacillales; Streptococcaceae. The record is from RNAcentral.